AGGAGACGCUAGGCGGCGUGACCUAACACAUGCAAGUCGAGCGGGAGUGCCUUCGGGCAGUUUCCAGCGGCGGACGGUGAGUAACGCGUGAGCAACCUUUCUACGACAGGGGGAUAACGCAGCGAAAGCUGUGCUAAUACCGCAUAAGACCACAAUGUCACAUGGCAAAGGGGUCAAAGGAGGAAUCCGGUGAAGGGUGGGCUCGCGUCUGAUUAGCUAGUUGCGGGGUAAGGCCCACCAAGGUGACGAUCAGUAGCCGACCUGAGAGGGUGAUCGGCCACACUGGGACUGAGACACGGCCCAGACUCCUACGGGAGGCAGCAGUGGGGAAUAUUGGGCAAUGGGCGAAAGCCUGACCCAGCAACGCCGCGUGAGGGAAGAAGGUUUUCGGAUCGUAAACCUCUGUCCUUGGGGACGAAUAAAUGACGGUACCCAAGGAGGAAGCCCCGGCUAACUACGUG
Molecule: ribosomal RNA, 461 nt
Filed under: uncultured bacterium
Lineage: Bacteria
Description: bacterial SSU rRNA
Rfam family: Bacterial small subunit ribosomal RNA
Source: RNAcentral